This 86-nucleotide transfer RNA is filed under the name Climaconeis cf. scalaris. Its description in RNAcentral is "tRNA-Leu". It matches the Rfam family "tRNA". From Rfam's summary of the family: Transfer RNA (tRNA) molecules are approximately 80 nucleotides in length. Their secondary structure includes four short double-helical elements and three loops (D, anti-codon, and T loops). The record is from RNAcentral. Lineage: Eukaryota; Bacillariophyta; Bacillariophyceae; Naviculales; Amphipleuraceae.
GGGAAUGUGGUGGAAUCGGUAGACACGACGGACUUAAAAUCCGUUACUUAGUGAUGAGUAUGAGGGUUCAAGUCCCUCCAUUCCUA